UGGGGAAUAUUGCACAAUGGAGGGAACUCUGAUGCAGCGACGCCGCGUGAACGAAGAAGGCUUUCGAGUCGUAAAGUUCUUUUAUAUGGGAAGAUAAUGACGGUACCAUAAGAAAAAGCCCCGGCUAACUACGUGCCAGCAGCCGCGGUAAUACGUAGGGGGCUAGCGUUGUCCGGAAUCACUGUGCGUAAAGGGUUCGCAGGCGGAAAUGCAAGUCAGAUGUAAAAGGCAGUAGCUUAACUACUGUAAGCAUUUGAAACUGCAUAUCUUGAGAAGAGUAGAGGUAAGUGGAAUUUUUAGUGUAGCGGUGAAAUGCGUAGAUAUUAAAAAGAAUACCGGUGGCGAAGGCGACUUACUGGGCUCAUUCUGACGCUGAGGAACGAAAGCGUGGGUAGCAAACAGG
This 403-nucleotide ribosomal RNA is filed under the name Fusobacteriota bacterium. RNAcentral describes it as "Fusobacteria bacterium partial 16S ribosomal RNA". It matches the Rfam family "Bacterial small subunit ribosomal RNA", at positions 355 to 776 of the family's 1533-position model. The record is from RNAcentral. Lineage: Bacteria; Fusobacteriati; Fusobacteriota.